CAGCUCAUGACAUGCUCGAUCCAACUUAAGUUUAGAUUGCCUCAAUAAACUCUUGUAACAAUUACGUUAUUACUCUUCUCGACAAAAGUUAUCAGAAAAUUACCUUCUCAUCCAUCUAAAGAUAAACAAAAUAAAACCUUUCUAACAUCCGGCGUUAUAUUAGAUCUUUUUUUAAAAAAUAUCAAUCCAAAAAAAGUCACACCUUCAAAUCCAAAACAAACUCCAUCACUCACUUUUCGUAGUUCAAUCAUAAUUUUAUUAUACUCCAAAAGGUGAAAUCGAUAAUUAAAAUAGUAAAAACUACAAACCAAAUGCUAUAGCUUGUAAUCAAAACUAAGUGGAACGAAAAUAGCCCCAGACAAUGGAAUCAAUAAUUAAAGUUAUCAGGAAAUCGCCUUCUUAUCCAUCUAAAGAUAAACAAAAUAAAACCCUUCUAACAUCCAGUGUUAUAUUCAAUCUUUUUUUAAAAAAACAAUCAAUCCAGAAAAAGUCGCACAUUAAAAUCCAAAAUAAACUCCAUCACUCGCUUUUCGUAGUUCAAUCAUGAUAUCAUGCUCCAAAAGGUGAAAUUGAUAAUUAAAAUAAUAAAAACUAUGAAUAAAUACUAUAGCUUGU
This 615-nucleotide long non-coding RNA is filed under the name Elaeis guineensis (African oil palm). Its description in RNAcentral is "long non-coding RNA (EGUI_LNC022276)". The record is from RNAcentral. Lineage: Eukaryota; Viridiplantae; Streptophyta; Magnoliopsida; Arecales; Arecaceae.